This 497-nucleotide ribosomal RNA is filed under the name uncultured bacterium. Its description in RNAcentral is "partial 16S ribosomal RNA". It matches the Rfam family "Bacterial small subunit ribosomal RNA", at positions 28 to 507 of the family's 1533-position model. The record is from RNAcentral.
GAUGAACGCUGGCGGCGUGCCUAAUACAUGCAAGUCGAGCGAACGGACGAGAAGCUUGCUUCUCUGAUGUUAGCGGCGGACGGGUGAGUAACACGUGGAUAACCUACCUAUAAGACUGGGAUAACUUCGGGAAACCGGAGCUAAUACCGGAUAAUAUUUUGAACCGCAUGGUUCAAAAGUGAAAGACGGUCUUGCUGUCACUUAUAGAUGGAUCCGCGCUGCAUUAGCUAGUUGGUAAGGUAACGGCUUACCAAGGCAACGAUGCAUAGCCGACCUGGGAGGGGAAUCGGCCACACUGGAACUGAAACACGGUCCAGACUCCUACGGGAAGCAGCAGUAGGGAAUCUUCCGCAAUGGGCGAAAGCCUGACGGAGCAACGCCGCGUGAGUGAUGAAGGUCUUCGGAUCGUAAAACUCUGUUAUUAGGGAAGAACAUAUGUGUAAGUAACUGUGCACAUCUUGACGGUACCUAAUCAGAAAGCCACGGCUAACUACGUG